Molecule: ribosomal RNA, 743 nt
Filed under: uncultured Acidobacteriota bacterium
Lineage: Bacteria; Pseudomonadati; Acidobacteriota
Description: bacterial SSU rRNA
Rfam family: Bacterial small subunit ribosomal RNA
Source: RNAcentral
GUCGAACGAGAAAGUGGUAGCAAUACCAUGAGUAAAGUGGCGCACGGGUGAGUAACACGUGACUAACCUACCCUGGAGUGGGGGAUAACUGAGGGAAACCUUAGCUAAUACCGCAUAAUACCCACGGGUCAAAGGAGCAAUUCGCUCCAGGAGGGGGUCGCGGCCGAUUAGUUAGUUGGCGGGGUAACGGCCCACCAAGACGAUGAUCGGUAUCCGGCCUGAGAGGGCGCACGGACACACUGGAACUGAAACACGGUCCAGACUCCUACGGGAGGCAGCAGUGGGGAAUUUUGCGCAAUGGGGGAAACCCUGACGCAGCAACGCCGCGUGGAGGAUGAAGUCCUUCGGGACGUAAACUCCUUUCGAUCGGGACGAUAAUGACGGUACCGGAAGAAGAAGCCCCGGCUAACUUCGUGCCAGCAGCCGCGGUAAUACGAGGGGGGCGAGCGUUGUUCGGAAUUAUUGGGCGUAAAGGGUGCGUAGGCGGUUUGGUAAGUCUUAUGUGAAAUCUAUGGGCUCAACUCAUAGACUGCAUGAGAAACUGCCGGGCUCGAGUAUGGGAGAGGUGAGUGGAAUUUCCGGUGUAGCGGUGAAAUGCGUAGAUAUCGGAAGGAACACCUGUGGCGAAAGCGGCUCACUGGACCAUAACUGACGCUGAUGCACGAAAGCUAGGGGAGCAAACAGGAUUAGAUACCCUGGUAGUCCUAGCCCUAAACCAUGACUGCUUGGUGUGACGGGUACCC